RNAcentral lists this ribosomal RNA (301 nucleotides) under uncultured bacterium. Its description in RNAcentral is "partial 16S ribosomal RNA". It matches the Rfam family "Bacterial small subunit ribosomal RNA", at positions 509 to 807 of the family's 1533-position model. The record is from RNAcentral.
CAGUCGCCGCGGGAACACGUAGGUGGCAAGCGUUGUCCGGAAUUAUUGGGCGUAAAGGGCUCGCAGGCGGUUUCUUAAGUCAGAUGUGAAAGCCCCCGGCUCAACCGGGGAGGGUCAUUGGAAACUGGGAAACUUGAGUGCAGAAGAGGAGAGUGGAACUCCACGUGUAGCGGUGAAAUGCGUAGAGAUGUGGAGGAACACCAGUGGCGAAGGCGACUCUCUGGUCUGUAACUGACGCUGAGGAGCGAAAGCGUGGGGAGCGAACAGGAUUAGAUACCCGCGUAGUCCCUGUCUCUUAUAC